CGCGUAGGCGGCCACCGCAAGUCAGUUGUGAAAGCUCUGGGCUUAACCCAGAAAGGUCAACUGAUACUGCGGGGCUAGAGUGCGGAAGGGGCAACUGGAAUUCUCGGUGUAGCGGUGAAAUGCGUAGAUAUCGAGAGGAACACCUGCGGCGAAGGCGGGUUGCUGGGCCGACACUGACGCUGAAGCGCGAAAGCUAGGGGAGCGAACG
Molecule: ribosomal RNA, 208 nt
Filed under: uncultured bacterium
Lineage: Bacteria
Description: partial 16S ribosomal RNA
Rfam family: Bacterial small subunit ribosomal RNA
Source: RNAcentral